RNAcentral lists this ribosomal RNA (398 nucleotides) under uncultured bacterium. RNAcentral describes it as "partial 16S ribosomal RNA". It matches the Rfam family "Bacterial small subunit ribosomal RNA", at positions 875 to 1271 of the family's 1533-position model. The record is from RNAcentral.
GGGGAGUACGACCGCAAGGUUGAAACUCAAAGGAAUUGACGGGGGCCCGCACNNNCNGUNGAGUAUGUGGUUUAAUUNGACGCAACGCGAAGAACCUUACCAGGUCUUGACANUGAUGGACAGAACUAGAGAUAGUUCCUCUUCUUCGGAAGCCAGAAAACAGGUGGUGCACGGUUGUCGUCAGCUCGUGUCGUGAGAUGUUGGGUUAAGUCCCGCAACGAGCGCAACCCCUAUCUUAUGUUGCCAGCACGUAAUGGUGGGAACUCAUGAGAGACUGCCGCAGACAAUGCGGAGGAAGGCGGGGAUGACGUCAAAUCAUCAUGCCCCUUAUGACCUGGGCUACACACGUACUACAAUGGGAGUUAAUAGACGGAAGCGAGAUCGCGAGANGGAGCAAA